Molecule: ribosomal RNA, 305 nt
Filed under: uncultured bacterium
Lineage: Bacteria
Description: bacterial SSU rRNA
Rfam family: Bacterial small subunit ribosomal RNA
Source: RNAcentral
CCCUACGGGAGGCAGCAGUGGGGAAUAUUGGGCAAUGGGCGCAAGCCUGACCCAGCGACGCCGCGUGAGGGAAGACGGUCUUCGGAUUGUAAACCUCUUUCAGCAGGGAAGACAAAAGGACGGUACCUGCAGAAGAAGCCACGGCUAACUACGUGCCAGCAGCCGCGGUAAUACGUAGGUGGCAAGCGUUAUCCGGAAUUACUGGGUGUAAAGGGUGUGUAGGCGGGUUUGGAAGUCAGAUGUGAAAAUUAUUGGCUCAAACCAUAACCUGCGUCUGAAACUUCAGAUCUUGAGAGUGGGAGAGG